Molecule: long non-coding RNA, 1594 nt
Organism: Bubalus bubalis (water buffalo)
Lineage: Eukaryota; Metazoa; Chordata; Mammalia; Artiodactyla; Bovidae
Exons: 4
Source: RefSeq, a predicted model, not a curated record
GAUCCAAUCAAGAAAACAAAACGUCCACCCCGCAUCAGGGUUGGCAGUUUAGGAGGUGACGGGAACUGAGUUCUGCGAUAUUGCUGUUGCCAGUGGUGACUUGCACAGAGGAGCCCCUGGAGCCCCUGAGAGCCACACCUGGCCCCUCGGACACCGAACUCAUGGCCGCCUAGCACUCAGAUGAUGGGGGAGCUGUGCCUUCUUGGCAGGCAGGACCCUGCCAACAGACGUUCAGCGGAUGGGAUGCUUCUCACUGCAACAUUAAGGGUGGUCCUUUUAACUCCAUCUGCCCAUUUGAAGGCCAGGCUUCUCCAGAAACACCCUCAACAGACAAACCCCGAAAUACAUUUCACCAGCUCUCUGGGCCUCCCUUAGCCCCAUCAAGUUAACCCAUCAUACCAACCAUCACAAAUAACUGUGUGUGAAGGGUGAAAGCCCCAUGUCUCUGAAGCCAGUGGGUGUUCACAAGAGGAUUAUGGGAAGAGGGACAGAAGUGCCUGGAUGUACUGUUCAGAGCUGGCAGGACCGGCCUCUAAAAGGAAGACUUAAAAUGAUGUUUUUGACAUCAACACUUUCCCCAAAGUUGAUCCACCUGUCACCGCAGCCGCCGGCUGGCCUCCUGGGAACCACAGGGUGGAAGUCGCUGCUGCAGUGACCUGGGCUGUUUCCUUCCACCCCUUCCCUGGCUCGCAGGUCUCACGGCAGCUCUUGGAGCCAUAGCUGUGUUCUCUGUGUUCCCUUUCUUGGGGAGCACCCAUCCUCGGCCAGCCGACGAGCCCUUCACCCUGUGGGAAGCUCUGGCCCCUCUCUGCUGCCUAUGGGCCAAGCCCUGUUUGUACCUGGACACUGGCCUUCCAGCUGUAUAAACACCUGCUUGUUAUCACCAAGGGUGGAUGGUCUUCUAGGACUGGUCCAAGGUCUCAAUCAACUCUUAAAAGGCACAGAAAAGCAAGGAUGGGAGACACACAGCAUGGACUGUGUCUUGUGACAGAGCGGAGCCUAGCAGAUGGGUGCCUCCAAGAUGCAAGUUCCUAGGAGCCGAGAUGCCCUGACCCACCUCCAUACGCAGCAUCUGGAGCCACGGCCGUUCAGAGGAUAGGCUGAAUGAAUGAAUGGGGUAUGACAUGCAUUUGGCCUUCACUUGCUGAUAAUUGGGAAGCUUCUUCCACCGCUUGCUUUGGUUUGGGAUCUGACAACACUCUGUCAUCUUCACUCAGGUUGUGUCCUGUCCAAACCGGGAAGAUGAGACUCAGCUUCUGAGUAUAAUCUCAGUGAUUAAUUUAGAUGGGAAACUGUGAGCUUAGGGCAAGAAAUGUCCUUCCGUGCUUUCCAGCAUCUCCUCUGUCCCGUGGCCUUGGAGCCUCCAUAGUCCCCAGUGCGAGGCCUGGCUUCUUUCUAGAAAUUGAUUUCACCAUCAUACUUUUUUUUGUCCUUCUGUCUCCAGACAUUUUUUUUCCUGGCCAGCUUUUUAAAACCCUUGGCCUCAAAAUCUUAGUUCCCCACAUCCGGCUCCCCCACCUCUCCCCACAAAUAAACUGUCACUUGCUCUGGGCUUUCUUUCCAGUGCAACCAUCCCUGCUUUGUAAAAGCAAUG